Molecule: ribosomal RNA, 393 nt
Filed under: Wolbachia endosymbiont of Mayetiola destructor
Lineage: Bacteria; Pseudomonadati; Pseudomonadota; Alphaproteobacteria; Rickettsiales; Anaplasmataceae
Description: bacterial SSU rRNA
Rfam family: Bacterial small subunit ribosomal RNA
Source: RNAcentral
AGGUGUUGCAUGGCUGUCGUCAGCUCGUGUCGUGAGAUGUUGGGUUAAGUCCCGCAACGAGCGCAACCCUCAUCCUUAGUUACCAUCAGGUAAUGCUGGGGACUUUAAGGAAACUGCCAGUGAUAAACUGGAGGAAGGUGGGGAUGAUGUCAAGUCAUCAUGGCCCUUAUGGAGUGGGCUACACACGUGCUACAAUGGUGGCUACAAUGGGCUGCAAAGUCGCGAGGCUAAGCUAAUCCCUUAAAAGCCAUCUCAGUUCGGAUUGUACUCUGCAACUCGAGUGCAUGAAGUUGGAAUCGCUAGUAAUCGUGGAUCAGCACGCCACGGUGAAUACGUUCUCGGGUCUUGUACACACUGCCCGUCACGCCAUGGGAAUUGGUUUCACUCGAAGCU